ACCAGACCCAACACCAGACAUGGUGUUGAGGUCUGCCAUGUUGGCCAGCAUGACAGACGUUGAGAAGAGCGUCAAAUCUCUGGUCACCGAGGCCAACUUGAGGCUAGUUGGCCUCAUGGCCCUUCACCAGGAUGUGAGGGAACCUGCAGCAGGAAGUGCCACUACCGAGGAAAAUCCUGAGCAGCAACCACCAGAGUCUCCUCCCUGACGGAGACCGACUGGGGUUACAAUCAGGGAACCUGUUGGCACCCCUCUAGCAGAAAGGUCUUCUACCCCUAAAGGAAAGGGAAAACAAAAGGCGACUGAGCUCGUCAUUGACUUAGAUGAGUCCUCUGACGAAAAUGAAAUGGCCUCUGCUAAUGUCUUUGACAUCUACUAUACUCAGGAGGAGGAAGAAGUCCCCCUGGUUCGCAAGAGGAAGUUGUCCAGGCAACAUGACGCGGAGUCCAGCCAAAUGCCCUCGGCCAAGAAGAACCGAGCCUCGGGCUCUCCGGCGGAGGGGCCUGCUGCCCAAGAUAUCGAACAACAUCAUCUCGAGCAGGAGGUUCCACCUUCAAAUGCUCCAGCUGCCAAAACUCCAUCACCCCAGCCCCUACCGAACAAACACAACAGGUUGGGGGGGCUUCAAUUGGGACGGAACUGUUACACCGUGCCCUGAGAUCUGCCAAGGACCGCCUGGCCAAAAUCCUCAAACAUGACCACUGCAAAGAGGCUAUGGCUGGGACAGAGGAAAUGGGGGUCGAUCAGAUCAUCAACAGGGCCCUGAACGAGACUGCCAGUGCCAUGCUAACUUUAACGGCUGCCCACCUGCGCUCGGGUGCCAGCAUCGAGUAGUCCCGUGCUUGAGAGUUCAAGUUGAUGGAGGAACUUCAAGCCGCGGAGGCAAGGCACGCAGGGGUGCUGGAAGUGGUGACCCAGCAGAAGGACUCUUUGGUUGCGGAUCUAGUGAAGAAACAGGUCUCUCUGGAAAGUGCUAGAAAAAAAAAUAGAGGAAUACGAGGAGGCCAGUCGAAUCCACUGGCACAAAGUCAAAAGGCUCUAGGAGGAAAAUCUUGCAAAAGACAAGAGCAUUGCCAGUCUCAAGAGCCAAGUGGAGCAACUCAAGCUCACGAACACCAAGGACCUAGAAAGGUACAAGAAUGCGACACUUCGAUGCUUUUACGACUUCUGGAAGCAUAACCAAAGUGCCAAUUUUGGCUACCUUCCAGAGGACGCUAGGAAAGCUGAGCUGGCUCGCUGCGCUGCCGAAGAGAGGGCCAGAGUUCCUGCCUCCCCCAAGAUUUCGUUGGCCACGGGGAUGGAUGGAGGGGAAGCUGCAGAAGACGCAGUUAACCAAGAUGCUCCCCAAGAUCCUCCUGCUGCUCCGUAGCUUGUUUUCUACUUAUUUUAUUUUCUUUUUCUUACAUGACCCACAGGUCAUGAUGUUAAGACAAUGUUUAUUUUCUUAUUGCUACAUGCGCAACUUUUCCUUUUAACUUAACAUUUACAUCCGAGUAGUAUUGCUCGCGGUGUAAAAGAAUUCUUUUGAUAUUAUAAUAGUUUUACUUUAUUAUAA
Molecule: long non-coding RNA, 1555 nt
Organism: Humulus lupulus (European hop)
Lineage: Eukaryota; Viridiplantae; Streptophyta; Magnoliopsida; Rosales; Cannabaceae
Exons: 3
Source: RefSeq, a predicted model, not a curated record